CUAGACCCUAGAGUCCAGCCUCUUUAUGAUCAAGGGAGAAGGUGAAUAUACCAUCAUUGAAAUCUUUCAUGACCAUAGAAGGAGUAGGAGUAGAUACAACCAUCGUCCAAUGGGGAUUGAGGAGACACACAUGAAACAAUCAGGCCAACAGGGAAGCCUCUUGGCACCUUCAAUUCGGGAACGUUUGCUGUGAAUUCCCCUUAUUUCAUAGCAAAAAAUAUCACUUUUCAAAACGCAACACCUCUUCCACCACCAGGGGCUGUCCUUUAUAUUUAGGGCAUAAAAAGAAGCAUUGGUCCCUAG
This is a long non-coding RNA of Macadamia integrifolia, 303 nucleotides long. RefSeq lists it as uncharacterized. The record is from RefSeq and is a predicted model, not a curated record. Lineage: Eukaryota; Viridiplantae; Streptophyta; Magnoliopsida; Proteales; Proteaceae. The transcript has 3 exons.